RNAcentral lists this ribosomal RNA (429 nucleotides) under uncultured bacterium. Its description in RNAcentral is "partial 16S ribosomal RNA". It matches the Rfam family "Bacterial small subunit ribosomal RNA", at positions 29 to 506 of the family's 1533-position model. The record is from RNAcentral.
AACGAACGCUGGCGGCAGGCCUAACACAUGCAAGUCGAACGCCCCGCAAGGGGAGUGGCAGACGGGUGAGUAACACGUGGGAACCUUCCCUAUAGUACGGAAUAGCCCAGGGAAACUUGGAGUAAUACCGUAUACGCCCGAAAGGGGAAAGAAUUUCGCUAUAGGAUGGGCCCGCGUAGGAUUAGCUAGUUGGUGAGGUAAUGGCUCACCAAGGCGACGAUCCUUAGCUGGUUUGAGAGAACGACCAGCCACACUGGGACUGAGACACGGCCCAGACUCCUACGGGAGGCAGCAGUGGGGAAUAUUGGACAAUGGGCGCAAGCCUGAUCCAGCCAUGCCGCGUGAGUGAUGAAGGCCUUAGGGUUGUAAAGCUCUUUUGGCGGGGACGAUAAUGACGGUACCCGCAGAAUAAGUCCCGGCUAACUUCGU